AGUGAACGCUGGCGGUAGACCUAACACAUGCAAGUCGAACGGCAGCACAGUAAGAGCUUGCUCUUACGGGUGGCGAGUGGCGGACGGGUGAGGAAUACAUCGGAAUCUACUUUUUCGUGGGGGAUAACGUAGGGAAACUUACGCUAAUACCGCAUACGACCUACGGGUGAAAGCAGGGGAUCUUCGGACCUUGCGCGAUUGAAUGAGCCGAUGUCGGAUUAGCUAGUUGGCGGGGUAAAGGCCCACCAAGGCGACGAUCCGUAGCUGGUCUGAGAGGAUGAUCAGCCACACUGGAACUGAGACACGGUCCAGACUCCUACGGGAGGCAGCAGUGGGGAAUAUUGGACAAUGGGCGCAAGCCUGAUCCAGCCAUACCGCGUGGGUGAAGAAGGCCUUCGGGUUGUAAAGCCCUUUUGUUGGGAAAGAAAAGCAGCAGGUUAAUACCCCGAUGUUCUGACGGUACCCAAAGAAUAAGCACCGGCUAACUUCGUG
Molecule: ribosomal RNA, 492 nt
Filed under: uncultured bacterium
Lineage: Bacteria
Description: partial 16S ribosomal RNA
Rfam family: Bacterial small subunit ribosomal RNA
Source: RNAcentral